This is a long non-coding RNA of Anneissia japonica, 1702 nucleotides long. RefSeq lists it as uncharacterized. Lineage: Eukaryota; Metazoa; Echinodermata; Crinoidea; Comatulida; Comatulidae. The transcript is spliced from 3 exons. The record is from RefSeq and is a predicted model, not a curated record.
UCACUAAAAAAGUACAUCCAUUUCUCAGGAUCAAUAGGUUUAGCAGCAUAAAGCAACUCACCGACACUGUUGACUUCUGAACAACCGAACAACUGGAAAAGUUUCCUGUUUGGAGCAGCUCCAUCUGCAACUAGUGCCCUUACGAAGAAUCGUACAGUCUCCAUGGCAUUAAUUGCCACUGCUGCCAAUGCUCGUUGUAGGAAAGUAUGCAAUGGGGGCUUCCAAUUUACCACAAAUGCUUCUUGCCAUCAGGACAAGUAUGUGUGUGGCUAAAUGAGGUUCAGAGUUCCCACUGCAUCUCAUCUCGAAAUCUGACAUCUCAUUCGGCAAGUCACCAAUAUCAGUGAAGCUUACAAAUACGAUGAUCACUGAGCAGCUUUCAAUGUGGUCCGAUUUAUAGUGGUUUGUUUCAUCUGAAAAGAAGUAGCAACUGCUGACAAUGUGACUAAAGUCAUCAUUUGAUUGAUAUGAUGGCUACACAUUUCCACCUCGUGAGAAAAACAAAACAAAACAACAAAAACAACAAAACAAAACAAGUUUUUUUUUUUGGUCAUAUAAUUGAAUGUCUAUGUAACAUUGUUCUCUUGACAAUUGUCUCCUAACCAUUCUUAUUUGCACAUCCUGUUGAAAAGAUGAAACAGACAAAAAAAAUCACUAAAAAUGUCGAAAUUAUUAAUAUUAAUAUAUACUAUAUUUUUAAUGUCAUUUUCGGAAGCAAAGUAUAUGAACAGUUCUUGCACUAUGUUUAAUUUUCUUCUACUUGUCCUUUUCGGAAGCAUUGCUGAGGCAGGAGCCUAUUCGACAUCAACCAUUCAUUGUCAACCUGUAUGUAACUCAACAUAAUCAUCAUUGUGUUCCUUUUCUCUAAAGGAGGAAGAUGCAGAAACAACAGGCAAUUUACAAUCUAAAGUAACUAAAGAAAUCUCAUGGCAGCAAAGACAUUCUUCAUACAUCCUAUGGUUAUGAUGGCAUCGCAUCAUAACCAAGCUCAUAAUGACUAUAUAUGGGCAUACAGCAGUGUGGCAAGAGCUUUAAUCUGCAAAAUUAAUUUCUUGCUAAGCUGGUUGAUUCAUUUGAUGUUGUGGGUACUAAAACUGCAUAUGUUCAAGUAACAUUCAGUACAGUAUUAUUUAAGUAUACUUUGCUUCCUUUCUGAUUUAGCAAGUGUUUUCUUUUUCCUUCUGUGCAUUUAGCUGCCUUUAAUUACACCUUAUUCAAGGUUACUCCCAAAGUCCUUAAUUUAUGUGUUUUGUUUACUUGCCUCUGACCAUAAAAUGCAAGUUUGUUAUCUGAAUGUUGUUUCAGUUAUAUUUAUUGUACAGGUAGCACAAUUUGAAAAUCUGCAGGAAUAAUCUAAGAAGAAUAGUUGUAAUCAGAAAAUGACAGACAAAGAAAGAAUGCCUCAGAUAUGGGAAGACCUGGAACAGCAAAGUUAAUAGUGUCACGUCGCUUGUUCAUCUUAUUCCGACCAAAUCCUGCAAUGUUAUAUGCAGACUGCAUCAAUAUAAUUCACUCAGAGACUUUGUACCGAGAGAUGUGUUUACAGAGCUGCAGUAUAGUGACGUAUAAUUAUACAAGCUACAGUUGAACUUGCCCAAGUCGAAUCCAAAUUGCCAUUGAAAUAUUGUUUCGACUUAGGAAAGUUUAACUGUAUAUACAUUCAAGUGGCUUAAGAACAAGCUUUAAAUAUUAAAAUACCAUA